RNAcentral lists this transfer RNA (75 nucleotides) under Clostridia bacterium. Its description in RNAcentral is "tRNA-Glu". It matches the Rfam family "tRNA". From Rfam's summary of the family: Transfer RNA (tRNA) molecules are approximately 80 nucleotides in length. Their secondary structure includes four short double-helical elements and three loops (D, anti-codon, and T loops). Lineage: Bacteria; Bacillati; Bacillota; Clostridia. The record is from RNAcentral.
GGCUCGUUGGUCAAGCGGUCAAGACACCAGCCUCUCACGCUGGUAACGCGGGUUCGAUUCCCGCACGAGUCACCA